AGUGAGUCUCCAAGUCAUGAAUACUGAGCCAAAUUGAUCUAUUUCUUGUGUGAGCUCAACUCUUCCUUCAAUCAGUUGGAUUGUCAUGUAUGUCAGACCAUCACUGAUAGACUCAUGAAACUUUAGAAGUUGAGUUUGUUCUUGUAACCAAGAUUGGCUCACUAUCUCUGCUUCUUCAUAGCUUUCUCUUUGUUGGGCUGCAAUCUCUAGGACAGUAAUUUCUAAUUGAAUAGCGUCGAGCGCAUCUCGUAGUGUCGUGAUUAUUUUUUUGCUCUUCCACACAUUCAAACAUUUGUUCA
RNAcentral lists this long non-coding RNA (299 nucleotides) under Solanum tuberosum (potato). RNAcentral's name for it is "long non-coding RNA (STUB_LNC004462)". Lineage: Eukaryota; Viridiplantae; Streptophyta; Magnoliopsida; Solanales; Solanaceae. The record is from RNAcentral.